UACGGGGGGGGCAAGCGUUGUCCGGAAUCAUUGGGCGUAAAGCGCGCGUAGGCGGCCCGGUAAGUCCGCUGUAAAAGUCCAGGGCUCAACCCUGGAACGCCGGUGGAUACUGUCGGGCUAGAGUCCGGAAGAGGCGAGUGGAAUUCCUGGUGUAGCGGUGGAAUGCGCAGAUAUCAGGAGGAACACCGAUGGCGAAGGCAGCUCGCUGGGACGGUACUGACGCUGAGGCGCGAAAGCGUGGGGAGCGAACAGG
This 253-nucleotide ribosomal RNA is filed under the name uncultured bacterium. RNAcentral describes it as "partial 16S ribosomal RNA". It matches the Rfam family "Bacterial small subunit ribosomal RNA", at positions 524 to 776 of the family's 1533-position model. The record is from RNAcentral.